CUAGCCGUAAACGAUGGAUGCUAGGUGUGGGGGGUAUAGACUCCCUCCGUGCCGUAGCUAACGCGUUAAGCAUCCCGCCUGGAUACUACGGCCGCAAGGCUAAAAACCAAACGAAUUGACGGGGGCCCGCACAAGCAGCGGAGCGUGUGGUUUAAUUCGAUGCUACACGAAGAACCUUACCUGGGCUUGACAUGCAGGUAGUAGUGAAGCGAAAGUGGAACGACCCUUCGGGGAGCCUGCACAGGUGC
RNAcentral lists this ribosomal RNA (248 nucleotides) under uncultured Chloroflexota bacterium. Its description in RNAcentral is "uncultured Chloroflexi bacterium partial 16S ribosomal RNA". It matches the Rfam family "Bacterial small subunit ribosomal RNA", at positions 796 to 1041 of the family's 1533-position model. The record is from RNAcentral. Lineage: Bacteria; Bacillati; Chloroflexota.